CUCACAUUUGAUGAUGGACCACAGGUUCUCAAUGGGGUUCAGAUAAGGUGAACAAGGAGGCCAUGUCAUUAGAUUUUCUUCUUUUAUACCCUUUCUUGCCAGCCACGCUGUGGAGUACUUGGACGCGUGUGAUGGAGCAUGAAAAUCAUGUUUUUCUUGAAGGAUGCAGACUUCUUCCUGUACCACUGCUUGAAGAAGGUGUCUUCCAGGAACUGGCAGUAGGACUGGGAGUUGAGCUUGACUCCAUCCUCAACCCGAAAAUGC
This 264-nucleotide long non-coding RNA is filed under the name Pelobates cultripes (western spadefoot toad). The record is from RNAcentral. Lineage: Eukaryota; Metazoa; Chordata; Amphibia; Anura; Pelobatidae.